CGGUUCCCCGCCGCCACGACUUGUUGAUGGGGAGACCACCUUUUCUGUCAAUCGUAUUUUGGACUCUAGAAGGAGGGGACGCGGAUUCCAGUACCUGGUGGACUGGGAGGGUUACGGCCCGGAGGAGAGAAGUUGGGUACCUGCUAGGGACAUUCUGGAUCACUCCCUUAUCGAUGAUUUCAAUCGACAGUGUUUGUGUGGGCGUGGUUUCCCAAUCUCGGCCUGAUUGUCUGCGCCAGCUGGAACCACUUAUCUUCCCUUUAUAUGUUCUGUUACCAGUGUUUCUUGUUGUCAGAUCGUUGUUUCUUCUCUGAGGUUGUGUCGUGUGUCCGUGCUCUUCUCUUGUGUGGAUUAUCUGCUGUGCUCCUUCCUACUCAUCUGGACACACUCCCCUGGUUUUCUCAGCACGUUAUGAUCGGAAGAUGCGCCCGAGUUCCUGGGUCGGAUUCCUUCUGAGUACAGUCUGUCUGUCAUGUUGCUGCUGUGAACUACAUUCAUUAAAACCAUCGUUGCUUGCA
Long non-coding RNA from Oncorhynchus masou masou (cherry salmon), 518 nucleotides. RefSeq lists it as uncharacterized. Lineage: Eukaryota; Metazoa; Chordata; Actinopteri; Salmoniformes; Salmonidae. The record is from RefSeq and is a predicted model, not a curated record. The transcript is spliced from 2 exons.